RNAcentral lists this ribosomal RNA (484 nucleotides) under uncultured bacterium. RNAcentral describes it as "partial 16S ribosomal RNA". It matches the Rfam family "Bacterial small subunit ribosomal RNA", at positions 28 to 523 of the family's 1533-position model. The record is from RNAcentral.
GACGAACGCUGGCGGCGUGCUUAACACAUGCAAGUCGAACGAUGAAGCCGGAGCUUGCUCUGGUGAAUUAGUGGCGAACGGGUGAGUAACACGUGAGUAACCUGCCCUUGACUCUGGGAUAACUGCUAGAAAUGGUAGCUAAUACCGGAUACGACCCUCGGAGGCAUCUUCAGGGGGUGGAAAGAAUUUCGGUCAAGGAUGGACUCGCGGCCUAUCAGCUAGUUGGUGAGGUAAUGGCUCACCAAGGCGACGACGGGUAGCCGGCCUGAGAGGGUGACCGGCCAGACUGGGACUGAGGAACGGCACAGACUCCUACGGGAGGCAGCAGUGGGGAAUAUUGCACAAUGGGCGCAAGCCUGAUGCAGCAACGCCGCGUGAGGGAUGACGGCCUUCGGGUUGUAAACCUCUUUUAGUAGGGAAGAAGCGAAAGUGACGGUACCUGCAGAAAAAGCACCGGCUAACUACGUGCCAGCAGCCGCCGUAA